Molecule: unclassified non-coding RNA, 211 nt
Filed under: Hevea brasiliensis (rubber tree)
Lineage: Eukaryota; Viridiplantae; Streptophyta; Magnoliopsida; Malpighiales; Euphorbiaceae
Source: RNAcentral
CACCCACCAUGCCACUUUCUUUUGCACUUCACAUUCUCUUUGAAUAUCCCAUUGGUGCAGUACAAGAGGAAAAAAGAGAAAAAUAAGUAGGAGAAGAAAAAGGUCUAUUAACUAAGAAGCUAGUGCCCUGUGCUUCUGAUGAGGAACUGGCUUAUGUCUCCGGCGAAGAUCCUCCACGAGUUGGCGAGUCUCGUGCCUGCCAGAAGCACUG